AGUCUCAUAAUCUGAAGGUCGUGAGUU
This 27-nucleotide non-coding RNA is filed under the name Callithrix jacchus (white-tufted-ear marmoset). Lineage: Eukaryota; Metazoa; Chordata; Mammalia; Primates; Cebidae. The record is from RNAcentral. RNAcentral also lists the same sequence under 6 other names.